Molecule: transfer RNA, 73 nt
Filed under: Elusimicrobiota bacterium
Lineage: Bacteria; Pseudomonadati; Elusimicrobiota
Also listed under: 1 other name
Description: Elusimicrobia bacterium (anaerobic digester metagenome) tRNA-Trp
Rfam family: tRNA
About the family: Transfer RNA (tRNA) molecules are approximately 80 nucleotides in length.
Source: RNAcentral
AGGCCUGUAGCUCAAUUGGCAGAGCAACGGACUCCAAAUCCGUGUGCUGGGGGUUCGACUCCUCCCAGGCCUG